Molecule: small nuclear RNA, 308 nt
Filed under: Octodon degus (degu)
Lineage: Eukaryota; Metazoa; Chordata; Mammalia; Rodentia; Octodontidae
Description: 7SK RNA (ENSODEG00000023787.1)
Rfam family: 7SK RNA
About the family: 7SK was discovered as an abundant small nuclear RNA in the mid-70s but a possible function has only recently been suggested. Two independent studies have found that 7SK RNA binds the CDK9/cyclin T complex (known as elongation factor P-TEFb).
Source: Rfam by way of RNAcentral
GGAUGUGAGGGCGAUCUGGCUGCGACAUCUGUCACCCCAUUGAUCGCCAGGGUUGAUCUGGCUGGCUAGGCGAGUGUCCCCUUCCUCCCUCAACGAUCCAUGUGCGUCCCUCCCGAAGCUGUGCACUCGGUUGAAGAGGACGACCACCCCCGAUAGAGGAGGACCGGUCCUCGGUCAAGGGUAUACGAGUAGCUGCGCUCCCCUGCUAGAACCUCCAAACAAGCUCUCAAGAAAACAUAGGUGUGAAGACUUUCAGCACCACAGACCUCCCCAGGAUCCUGCCACCACAAAGGUGCUCCCAAAGAUCU